This 429-nucleotide ribosomal RNA is filed under the name uncultured bacterium. RNAcentral describes it as "bacterial SSU rRNA". It matches the Rfam family "Bacterial small subunit ribosomal RNA", at positions 354 to 776 of the family's 1533-position model. The record is from RNAcentral.
GUGGGGAAUCUUGCGCAAUGGGCGAAAGCCUGACGCAGCGACGCCGCGUGAGUGAUGAAGGCCUUAGGGUUGUAAAGCUCUGUGGAGUGGGACGAAUAAGCCAUGGUUAACACCCAUGGUGAUGACGGUACCUCUUUAGCAAGCACCGGCUAACUCUGUGCCAGCAGCCGCGGUAAGACAGAGGGUGCAAACGUUGUUCGGAAUUACUGGGCGUAAAGCGCGUGUAGGCUGUUACGCAAGUCGGGUGUGAAAGCCCAGGGCUCAACCCUGGAAGUGCAUUCGAAACUGCGUGACUAGAAUCUCGGAGAGGGUGGCGGAAUUCUGGGUGUAGAGGUGAAAUUCGUAGAUAUCCAGAGGAACACCGGUGGCGAAGGCGGCCACCUGGACGAGUAUUGACGCUGAGACGCGAAAGCGUGGGGAGCAAACAGG